Molecule: long non-coding RNA, 1146 nt
Filed under: Populus tremula
Lineage: Eukaryota; Viridiplantae; Streptophyta; Magnoliopsida; Malpighiales; Salicaceae
Description: long non-coding RNA (PTRE_LNC001835)
Source: RNAcentral
CAAUCAACCCUAAAAAAUUACAACCACCCUUCUUCCUCUCUUUGCCAACCAAAUCACGGAACCUUUGAUACGCAAAGGCUUGAUAUAAUUUUUAAUUUUGUCGAGUCCAGUGUGACGCAUCAACUUGAAAGUGCUUGGAAGCUUAUGCAAGAACCAUGAAGAGUUUGCUCUGGAACGUUUUUCAUAAACUGUCGAUGUUCAUCGUGGUAGAUCUAUUACAUGGUCAGAGUAAUUUGUUUUUUGUCUAUAGUAUAAUCGGAGAGUGUGCAUGGCACAAGCUAUAAACUUGUCACAAGCAGCAACCUUGUCUCUCUAUGGAUUCAAAAAAGGGCAAAAUGUGGACUUCAUUAGGAGAUCGAGCUUAAGAACUUGUUUUUGCUUGAUCAAAAAAUGACAGAUAAGAUCAAGGGAAAGAUAGACUCGUAACAAUUCUGGAAUUGAAAUUAAUUGCUUAGUUUGCCGCCAUGCAUGGAGCAAAAGCAUAUGGAACUCCAGUUGCUUAGACUUCAAGCGCGGUUGCAGCACCAAUCUUCUUCACAAGGGCACAGUCCCUACUCCCUGGAACAUCAUGGGAUAUAAAAAUAAAGUAUGCAUCUGUAAAGGUAACAACUCAGGGAUGGAACUGAAACGUGUUAAUUCAAGCAUGUUCCUUCCACGAAAGCUCAAAACUCUUAUGAGCUUUAUUUCAUGAUUACUUGCUUAUUCUCCAGCUUUUGAUCUUAGAAGGCGACCCCAGGGAGGGCGGUUAUGGUCGAGCUGCUUCGCCCCUCUCCUGACAAGGUCAGUCUCAAAGACCCAGACUCUUUCUAAUCUGUUUACAACCCACUACUCUUCGAGGUCUGUCGUAAACCCCUAUACGAGCAACUCCGUGCCUUGGACUAUCGGUCACGCCUCUUGCUAAAGGCCAUCUCUAUCUACUGAUCGGGGCUCUCUCUUUACUACCAAAAUGCCCUUUCUAGUUUUUGAUCUUGGCUCAUCAGAAGGCUUAGCUAUUCUCUCUCUUAUUUAUGUAAAUUCAUUAGAAAGACCCGUACCCUAUCCCUCUAGCUGCCGGCUUGGUGUGAAGUGAUCGUACCCUAUCCCUCUAGCUUAGUGGAUGCAUUGAACUUAUGCAUGAUGACUACUAGCAUAAUUGUGGGGCCGAAG